AAACCUUACCUACCUUUGACAUGUCGAGAAUCCUGCAGAGAUGCGGGAGUGCCUUCGGGAACUCGAACACAGGUGCUGCAUGGCUGUCGUCAGCUCGUGUCGUGAGAUGUUGGGUUAAGUCCCGCAACGAGCGCAACCCUUAUCAUUAGUUGCUACGCAAGGGCACUCUAAUGAGACUGCCGGUGACAAACCGGAGGAAGGUGGGGAUGACGUCAAGUCCUCAUGGCCCUUAUGGGUAGGGCUUCACACGUAAUACAAUGGUCGGUACAGAGGGUAGCCAACCCGCGAGGGGGAGCCAAUCUCAGAAAGCCGAUCGUAGUCCGGAUUGCAGUCUGCAACUCGACUGCAUGAAGUCGGAAUCGCUAGUAAUCGCGGAUCAGCA
This 382-nucleotide ribosomal RNA is filed under the name Spirillum sp. FES6. Its description in RNAcentral is "bacterial SSU rRNA". It matches the Rfam family "Bacterial small subunit ribosomal RNA", at positions 966 to 1354 of the family's 1533-position model. The record is from RNAcentral. Lineage: Bacteria; Pseudomonadati; Pseudomonadota; Betaproteobacteria; Nitrosomonadales; Spirillaceae.